This 201-nucleotide long non-coding RNA is filed under the name Vigna radiata. RNAcentral describes it as "long non-coding RNA (VRAD_LNC017499)". Lineage: Eukaryota; Viridiplantae; Streptophyta; Magnoliopsida; Fabales; Fabaceae. The record is from RNAcentral.
CGAACCAAUAUAAAAAUACUCGUGUGAAUUUUUCUUAUCCCUACACUUAUUUUACUUAUCGCACAUCAACUGUUUGGUUAAUUUUCUGAAAGAAAAUUACUUUGAUAAAAAAGGGCAAAAUUGUUUCAACUGUGACCUAAUACGCUUUACGCUCUCUGUGUUUUUAAUCCGCUGCGCUAAACUCUUUGAAAAUUACCCCCU